AACGAACGCUGGCGGCAUGCCUAACACAUGCGAGUCGAACGAGACCUUCGGGUCUAGUGGCGCACGGGUGCGUAACGCGUGGGAACCUGCCCUUAGGUUCGGAAUAACUCCCCGAAAGGGGUGCUAAUACCGGAUAAUGUCUUCGGACCAAAGAUUUAUCGCCUUUGGAUGGGCCCGCGUUGGAUUAGCUAGUUGGUAGGGUAAAAGCCUACCAAGGCGACGAUCCAUAGCUGGUCUGAGAGGAUGAUCAGCCACACUGGGACUAAGACACGGCCCAGACUCCUACGGGAGGCAGCAGUGGGGAAUAUUGGACAAUGGGCGAAAGCCUGAUCCAGCAAUGCCGCGUGAGUGAUGAAGGCCUUAGGGUUGUAAAGCUCUUUUACCCGGGAUGAUAAUGACAGUACCGGGAGAAUAAGCUCCGGCUAACUCCGUG
RNAcentral lists this ribosomal RNA (433 nucleotides) under uncultured bacterium. RNAcentral's name for it is "partial 16S ribosomal RNA". It matches the Rfam family "Bacterial small subunit ribosomal RNA", at positions 29 to 507 of the family's 1533-position model. The record is from RNAcentral.